This 539-nucleotide ribosomal RNA is filed under the name uncultured Geobacteraceae bacterium. Its description in RNAcentral is "bacterial SSU rRNA". It matches the Rfam family "Bacterial small subunit ribosomal RNA", at positions 9 to 526 of the family's 1533-position model. The record is from RNAcentral. Lineage: Bacteria; Pseudomonadati; Thermodesulfobacteriota; Desulfuromonadia; Geobacterales; Geobacteraceae.
GAGUUUGAUCCUGGYUCMKAACGAACGCUGGCGGCGUGCUUAACACAUGCAAGUCRAACGUGAUCCSGAGCUUGCUCCGGUGAAAGUGGCGCACGGGUGAGUAGCGCGUGGAUAAUCUGCCCUGGUAUCUGGGAUAACAUCUCGAAAGGGGUACUAAUACCGGAUAAGCCUACGGUCUCUUCGGAGUCUGCAGGAAAAGGUGGCCUCUAUUUAUAAGCUACCGUAUCAGGAUGAGUCCGCGUACCAUUAGCUGGUUGGUGGGGUAAUGGCCCACCAAAGCUACSAUGGUUAGCUGUUCUGAGAGGAUGAUCAGCCACACUGGAACUGAGACACGGUCCAGCCUCCUACGGGAGGCAGCAGUGGGGAAUUUUGCGCAAUGGGGGAAACCCUGACGCAGCAACGCCSCGUGAGUGAUGAAGGCUUUCGGGUCGUAAAGCUCUGUCAGAGGGGAAGAAAUGAGUCUGGCUAAUAUCCAGUUUUCUUGACGGUACCCUCAAAGGAAGCACCGGCUAACUCCUUGCCAGCAGCCGCGGUAAUAC